AUCUUCUGUGUGCCCCACAGACCGGUCAUCAAAGAAGACGUCCUUGUCGGGGCCAGAGAAAUUUCUGCCAUAUUCCAUGUUGAUGACGAAGAGCCCGUGCUUUGCCUUCCUCCCUGUGAGUGUCUCCAGCUGGGCCAGCAUCUGUAUGGGGAACUCCUCCAGGUACUCAAAGGCCGUGGAAUUCCUGGGAGAACAGCAACGCGGGGGAGGCCCUCAGUGCUGUGGCAGAGGAACUGUCCAUCCUCUGGGAUCUGCUGCUUAUCACUAAAUUGACUCUGACGAUGGUGGCCGGCAAGGCCCUGGCCUGAGGGAGCUCUGAGAUCCACGUGGCUGCCUCUGACUACUGCUCAUCCACGUGAUGCCAAACACUUUCCACAAGUGACCUUUACUCCUUCCUUUACUGCUGCAAGAACAGGCAUGUUCCCCACAGCAGCCUUCAUCUUAGGAAAGAACUGGGCACCUCACACCUGGAAUAGGAAGAGAAGCGCUAUGCAGCACGUCGGGAAAGCUGGGCCGAGGGGAGUAGGGUGGGGACGGGCUACUCACUCCUUCAAC
This is a long non-coding RNA of Homo sapiens (human), 555 nucleotides long. RefSeq lists it as uncharacterized. Lineage: Eukaryota; Metazoa; Chordata; Mammalia; Primates; Hominidae. The transcript is spliced from 3 exons. The record is from RefSeq and is a predicted model, not a curated record.